CCAAGGAGUUUAGCGUGUGCGCGAGUCAUUGAGUGAAAAAACUCAAAGGCAAAAUGAAAGUGAAGGAUUCUUCUCGUUUCUAAGGGAAGAUGGAUGCGUCUCAACGACCAUUCCGCACUCCCGGGGCGUCUCUAUCUCAUUGCGAGAGGAGGCGCACCUAGAGCGUACACGCUGAUACCCGAAAGAUGGUGAACUAUGCCUGGCCAGGACGAAGCCAGGGGAAACCCUGGUGGAGGUCCGCAGCGAUUCUGACGUGCAAAUCGAUCGUCGGAGCUGGGUUUAGGGGCGAAAGACCAAUCGAACCAUCUAGUAGCUGGUUCCCUCUGAAGUUUCCCUCAGGAUAGCUUGCGCUCGGGCGAGACGAGUCUCAUCCGGUAGAGCGAAUGAUUAGAGGCCUUGGGGUCGAAACGACCUCAACCUAUUCUCAAACUCCAAAUAGAUGAGAACCCUGGCUUUCUUGAACUAUGAAGCUAGGGGUUCGGAUCAGAGUGCCAAGUGGGCCAAUUUU
Molecule: ribosomal RNA, 508 nt
Filed under: Woodwardiola sp. WCW-2003
Lineage: Eukaryota; Metazoa; Arthropoda; Insecta; Hemiptera; Miridae
Description: eukaryotic LSU rRNA
Rfam family: Eukaryotic large subunit ribosomal RNA
Source: RNAcentral